UUGCACUCACUUUCCCCAAUUACCAUCAACCCUAGCUAUUCCUAAACGCUCAAUAGACGCGACCAGAAAACCAAAAAAAUUCUGCUUUCAAUUUCUUUCGUGGUGGCUGCUUGAUUAAGGUUUGAAACGGUAAGUUCCUUCCCCCUCUAAUUUUAUUUGUUUCUAGUUUAGGGUUUUGAUUCUCUUGAAGCUUUGGUUAAUGCUCUUAAAAUAGGAGGUCGUACCUCAGGUCAACACUCCCUCAAAGUAAAAAUUAGGGCUCAAAACCAUGCGAAGUCAUCACUGAAUUCUCAAGAACACGAGCUUUCCAUGUUGUAUUGGAGUAUAACCUUUUCAGUUUUCACGACAAAUUUUAAUUUCAAUCUUUUAGUCGUGUAUUUUGGUGGUUUAUGGUUUAACUUGUGACGGGUAUUUAGAUUGGAGAAUUUGAGGAAAAGGAAAUCCCAUGAGUGUUGAUAGUUUUGUAGCCUAGCCUUUCACUUAGCUAGUUACUAGGUGAUAGUCAACCCAAAUAGAAAAGUUAGAACUAUAAUAGUUAUCUCAGCAGGAAAUCUUUUCCACUAUAGUUUUGUAAUUUGCUUUAUUAGUUUGAGCCAUAAAUUAGUUUCUUCCAAUUUUGUCUCACUCAAAAGCAAAACAGAGACCUAUGCUUGGUCAAAGAAAAGUCCAGUAGCAUCUGCCGUAGGCAUGUGUGCGGUGGCAUCUGCAGUAUUUUGUGUUCUUCUUCAAAUUGUUCUUUAACUGAAAGAAUGUUGAUUGUUGUUGAAGCAUUGAUGUUAUUAGUCAAGACUAGUGUUUCGAUUAGUGUUUUGUUUAUGCCUGUGUAUGAUGAAAUCUCAUUUCCUAGUAUUGAAAAGUAUCUUGUCCGAAUAUUUCAUUUUACUCAGGUAUAAAGUAUUUCACAACAUGGAGGUUAGAGAGGAAUAUCUUGAAUGAGUCAAAGCUAUAAAGUUAUGGUUUGAAAUUUUUAAUAUCCUUCUCUAUUAAGUAAUUAAUUAUUAAUUUCCAGGAGUAAUGUUGAAGAAGUGGCACUUACUAUCAGAGGCAAAAAAGAAUAAGAUCAACUACUUGAUGGCUAUGUCGGAGGAGG
Molecule: long non-coding RNA, 1090 nt
Filed under: Nicotiana tabacum (common tobacco)
Lineage: Eukaryota; Viridiplantae; Streptophyta; Magnoliopsida; Solanales; Solanaceae
Description: long non-coding RNA (NTAB_LNC015887)
Source: RNAcentral